This 877-nucleotide ribosomal RNA is filed under the name uncultured bacterium. RNAcentral describes it as "bacterial SSU rRNA". It matches the Rfam family "Bacterial small subunit ribosomal RNA", at positions 9 to 873 of the family's 1533-position model. The record is from RNAcentral.
AGAGUUUGAUCAUGGCUCAGAGUGAACGCUGGCGGCAGGCCUAACACAUGCAAGUCGAACGGCAGCACAGCAGUAGCAAUACUGUGGGUGGCGAGUGGCGGACGGGUGAGGAAUACAUCGGAAUCUACCUUGUCGUGGGGGAUAACGUAGGGAAACUUACGCUAAUACCGCAUACGAACUAUGGUUGAAAGCGGCGGACCGCAAGGCGUCGCGCGAUUGGAUGAGCCGAUGUCCGAUUAGCUAGUUGGCGGGGUAAAGGCCCACCAAGGCGACGAUCGGUAGCUGGUCUGAGAGGAUGAUCAGCCACACUGGAACUGAGACACGGUCCAGACUCCUACGGGAGGCAGCAGUGGGGAAUAUUGGACAAUGGGGGCAACCCUGAUCCAGCCAUGCCGCGUGUGUGAAGAAGGCCUUCGGGUUGUAAAGCACUUUUGUUCGGGAAGAAAAGCACUGGGCUAAUACCUUGGUGUCAUGACGGUACCGAAAGAAUAAGCACCGGCUAACUUCGUGCCAGCAGCCGCGGUAAUACGAAGGGUGCAAGCGUUACUCGGAAUUACUGGGCGUAAAGCGUGCGUAGGCGGUUUGUUAAGUCUGUCGUGAAAGCCCCGGGCUCAACCUGGGAAUGGCGAUGGAUACUGGCGAGCUAGAGUACGGUAGAGGAGAGUGGAAUUCCCGGUGUAGCAGUGAAAUGCGUAGAGAUCGGGAGGAACAUCAGUUGCGAAGGCGGCUCUCUGGACCAGUACUGACGCUGAGGCACGAAAGCGUGGGGGAGCAAACAGGAUUAGAUACCCUGGUAGUCCACGCCGUAAACGAUGAGUGCUAGGUGUUGGGGGGUACCACCCUCAGUGCCGAAGCUAACGCAUUAAGCACUCCGCCU